Molecule: long non-coding RNA, 946 nt
Organism: Gossypium raimondii (Peruvian cotton)
Lineage: Eukaryota; Viridiplantae; Streptophyta; Magnoliopsida; Malvales; Malvaceae
Exons: 2
Source: RefSeq, a predicted model, not a curated record
UAAGGGACCAAAAUGGCAAAUACACGCAGAAAUAAAUAAUCCAAGCCAAAUUUGGAAACGACGCCGUUUAUAUAUGGGUCAAAAUGAAAACAAGACCAAAUAUGCGGUUUAAAAUAAAAAGAUUACACAAAAUCCAGUUGAAACGACACGAAAAGAAGGGAGACUGUGUGCUCAAAUAGACCAAACGCCCACAGUACGCGGAUCCUUCCCUGGAUCGGGUCACCGCGCGGGUCGCUGGCCAUUAAACGGCACCGUUUGGGUGAAUGAUAUAAAUAACAAAAACUAAGCAAAGUUCAUUCGGUCUGAAAAGCAAAGAAAAAAAGAAAAUGAAAGAAAAAAAGAAAACCAGAAGGGCAUAAACCCUAAACAAUAUCCUUCCCCUUCCGCCGCUUUGAAAGCCAGAACACUCCCCCCUCUCGUUCCGAUUCGGAUAAAGUAGGGGGUGGCUCCAAUGGUGCGCAAAGUCUGUUUUUUUCUUCCCACAAAGGCCUCUUUUUGCGCUAUUUUAUAGGCCGAAAAUUUCAAACAAAAAAAUAAAUCGAAAAGAAUACAAUUUUCCUUUUCCUCGCUGCGUUUUUUCGUUUACGUUUGUUGCAGGUACGGCCUGGCAGUGUCAGAGACGCGGCCGGCUUGGAGAAGGUGCGCAUGGACCUGGUGCGGAGGCGCAGCACUCGCGGCUGGGGGCGUGGUGGUGCACGCGCGAAAAGGGGCCGACUUGCCUGCGGCGCAAAUUGUUCCAGAAACCCUAGGGUUUCUGGAUGUUUCAAACAAAUGGGCCACUAGAGUUUGGGCCUGUUGUAUUGGGUCAGGGUUUAGGCUAGUAUUUCUGUAUUUGGGUUUAUACUGGGUCUUAAAACUUUAGGCUAAUUGGAUCUGUUUGGAUUUGGGCUUAUUGAUGUAAAGGACUGGACUUUUACUUUUAAAUUGGUUUUAUUUUAUUUGUUUA